This 492-nucleotide ribosomal RNA is filed under the name uncultured bacterium. RNAcentral describes it as "partial 16S ribosomal RNA". It matches the Rfam family "Bacterial small subunit ribosomal RNA", at positions 29 to 507 of the family's 1533-position model. The record is from RNAcentral.
AGUGAACGCUGGCGGUAGGCCUAACACAUGCAAGUCGAACGGCAGCACAGUAAGAGCUUGCUCUUACGGGUGGCGAGUGGCGGACGGGUGAGGAAUACAUCGGAAUCUACUUUUUCGUGGGGGAUAACGUAGGGAAACUUACGCUAAUACCGCAUACGACCUACGGGUGAAAGCAGGGGAUCUUCGGACCUUGCGCGAUUGAAUGAGCCGAUGUCGGAUUAGCUAGUUGGCGGGGUAAAGGCCCACCAAGGCGACGAUCCGUAGCUGGUCUGAGAGGAUGAUCAGCCACACUGGAACUGAGACCCGGGCCAGACUCCUACGGGAGGCAGCAGUGGGGAAUAUUGGACAAUGGGCGCAAGCCUGAUCCAGCCAUACCGCGUGGGUGAAGAAGGCCUUCGGGUUGUAAAGCCCUUUUGUUGGGAAAGAAAAGCAGCAGGUUAAUACCCCGCUGUUCUGACGGUACCCAAAGAAUAAGCACCGGCUAACUUCGUG